GAUGAACGCUGGCGGCGUGCCUAAUACAUGCAAGUCGAGCGAACGGACGAGAAGCUUGCUUUUCUGAUGUUAGCGGCGGACGGGUGAGUAACACGUGGAUAACCUACCUAUAAGACUGGGAUAACUUCGGGAAACCGGAGCUAAUACCGGAUAAUAUUUUGAACCGCAUGGUUCAAAAGUGAAAGACGGUCUUGCUGUCACUUAUAGAUGGAUCCGCGCUGCAUUAGCUAGUUGGUAAGGUAACGGCUUACCAAGGCAACGAUGCAUAGCCGACCUGAGAGGGUGAUCGGCCACACUGGAACUGAGACACGGUCCAGACUCCUACGGGAGGCAGCAGUAGGGAAUCUUCCGCAAUGGGCGAAAGCCUGACGGAGCAACGCCGCGUGAGUGAUGAAGGUCUUCGGAUCGUAAAACUCUGUUAUUAGGGAAGAACGUAUGUGUAAGUAACUGCGCACAUCUUGACGGUACCUAAUCAGAAAGCCACGGCUAACUACGUG
This 497-nucleotide ribosomal RNA is filed under the name uncultured bacterium. Its description in RNAcentral is "partial 16S ribosomal RNA". It matches the Rfam family "Bacterial small subunit ribosomal RNA", at positions 28 to 507 of the family's 1533-position model. The record is from RNAcentral.